AGAGUUUGAUCCUGGCUCAGAACGAACGCUGGCGGCAGGCUUAACACAUGCAAGUCGAACGCCCCGCAAGGGGAGUGGCAGACGGGUGAGUAACGCGUGGGAAUCUACCUAUCUCUACGGAAUAACCCAGGGAAACUUGGACUAAUACCGUAUACGCCCUUUUGGGGAAAGAUUUAUCGGAGAUGGAUGAGCCCGCGUUGGAUUAGCUAGUUGGUGGGGUAAAGGCCUACCAAGGCGACGAUCCAUAGCUGGUCUGAGAGGAUGAUCAGCCACAUUGGGACUGAGACACGGCCCAAACUCCUACGGGAGGCAGCAGUGGGGAAUAUUGGACAAUGGGCGCAAGCCUGAUCCAGCCAUGCCGCGUGAGUGAUGAAGGCCCUAGGGUUGUAAAGCUCUUUCAACGGUGAAGAUAAUGACGGUAACCGUAGAAGAAGCCCCGGCUAACUUCGUGCCAGCAGCCGCGGUAAUAC
This 470-nucleotide ribosomal RNA is filed under the name uncultured bacterium. Its description in RNAcentral is "bacterial SSU rRNA". It matches the Rfam family "Bacterial small subunit ribosomal RNA", at positions 8 to 526 of the family's 1533-position model. The record is from RNAcentral.